AGUAAGAUGGCUGGGACAAAUUGUGGUUCCAUUCCAAGUUUUCUAAGUAAUCUCCAUACUGCUUUCCAGAUUGGUUAUACCAAUUUGAAGUCCCACCAGCAAU
Molecule: microRNA precursor, 103 nt
Filed under: Marmota monax (woodchuck)
Lineage: Eukaryota; Metazoa; Chordata; Mammalia; Rodentia; Sciuridae
Source: RNAcentral